RNAcentral lists this unclassified non-coding RNA (568 nucleotides) under uncultured bacterium. RNAcentral's name for it is "partial contains 16S ribosomal RNA, 16S-23S ribosomal RNA intergenic spacer, and 23S ribosomal RNA". The stretch from base 438 to 568 matches the Rfam family "Bacterial large subunit ribosomal RNA", at positions 1 to 131 of the family's 2925-position model. The record is from RNAcentral.
UCGAUUUGCGGCUGGAUCCCCUCCUUUCUAGGGAGUGACGACCGAGAUGGGCGAUCCGUUACAGGAUCUCCAUUUCUGGGAUCAUCCCAGGUCGACAAAUCUUCCGACCGGGCUCACACCACUAUUCGAUAAUUCUUGGUUUCCAUUUAGAACCAUUGCGUUCUUAUCGGGCCUAUAGCUCAGUUGGUCAGAGCGCACGCCUGAUAAGCGUGAGGUCGAUAGUUCAAAUCUAUCUAGGCCCACCAUUCGGUUCUGGAGACGCUUCCUCAAGGCUUGGGGAUAUAGCUCAACUGGGAGAGCACCGCCUUUGCAAGGCGGGGGUUGCCGGUUCGAGUCCGGUUAUCUCCACCAAUCCGGGGAACUCUGGCAGUGGCCAGACAUGAUCUUUGACAAUCUGCAGGGUAAGAGAGCGGUAUCUUCCUUAGAUGCUAUUUUGAGAUAAAGCUACUAAGGGCGCAUGGCGGAUGCCUUGGCGUCGGUAGGCGAUGAAGGACGUGGUAAGCUGCGAUAAGCUCCGGUUAGGUGCACACGACCGUUAACCCGGAGAUUUCCGAAUGGGGAAACCCGG